GAUGAACGCUGGCGGCGUGCCUAAUACAUGCAAGUCGAGCGAACAGACGAGGAGCUUGCUCCUCUGACGUUAGCGGCGGACGGGUGAGUAACACGUGGAUAACCUACCUAUAAGACUGGGAUAACUUCGGGAAACCGGAGCUAAUACCGGAUAAUAUAUGGAACCGCAUGGUUCAAUAGUGAAAGACGGGUUUGCUGUCACUUAUAGAUGGAUCCGCGCCGCAUUAGCUAGUUGGUAAGGUAACGGCUUACCAAGGAAACGAUGCGUAGCCGACCUGAGAGGGUGAUCGGCCACACUGGAACUGAGACACGGUCCAGACUCCUACGGGAGGCAGCAGUAGGGAAUCUUCCGCAAUGGGCGAAAGCCUGACGGAGCAACGCCGCGUGAGUGAUGAAGGUCUUCGGAUCGUAAAACUCUGUUAUUAGGGAAGAACAAAUGUGUAAGUAACUAUGCACGUCUUGACGGUACCUAAUCAGAAAGCCACGGCUAACUACGUG
RNAcentral lists this ribosomal RNA (497 nucleotides) under uncultured bacterium. RNAcentral's name for it is "partial 16S ribosomal RNA". It matches the Rfam family "Bacterial small subunit ribosomal RNA", at positions 28 to 507 of the family's 1533-position model. The record is from RNAcentral.